This 200-nucleotide ribosomal RNA is filed under the name uncultured bacterium. RNAcentral describes it as "partial 16S ribosomal RNA". It matches the Rfam family "Bacterial small subunit ribosomal RNA", at positions 8 to 202 of the family's 1533-position model. The record is from RNAcentral.
AGAGUUUGAUCCUGGCUCAGGAUGAACGCUAGCGGCAGGCUUAAUACAUGCAAGUCGAGGGGCAGCAGGAAUAGCAAUAUUUGCUGGCGACCGGCAAACGGGUGCGGAACACGUACACAACCAUCCUUUAAGCGGGGGAUAGCCUAAGGAAACUUGGAUUAAUACCCCAUAGAAUAGAGACCCGGCAUCGGGUAGUUAUU